AUACGUAGGGGGCGAGCGUUGUCCGGAAUGAUUGGGCGUAAAGGGCGCGUAGGCGGCCCGGUAAGUCUGGAGUGAAAGUCCUGUUUUUAAGAUGGGAAUUGCUUUGGAUACUGUCGGGCUUGAGUGCAGGAGAGGGAAGUGGAAUUUCCAGUGUAGCGGUGAAAUGCGUAGAGAUUGGGAGGAACACCAGUGGCGAAGGCGACUUACUGGACUGUAACUGACGCUGAGGCGCGAAAGUGUGGGGAGCAAACAGGAUUAGAUACCCUGGUAGUCCACACUGUAAACGAUGAAUGCUAGGUGUAGGGGGUAUCGACCCCUUCUGUGCCGCAGUCAACACAAUAAGCAUUCCGCCUGGGGAGUACGGCCGCAAGGUUGAAACUCAAAUGAAUUGGCGGGG
Molecule: ribosomal RNA, 397 nt
Filed under: uncultured bacterium
Lineage: Bacteria
Description: partial 16S ribosomal RNA
Rfam family: Bacterial small subunit ribosomal RNA
Source: RNAcentral